This 468-nucleotide ribosomal RNA is filed under the name uncultured bacterium. RNAcentral describes it as "partial 16S ribosomal RNA". It matches the Rfam family "Bacterial small subunit ribosomal RNA", at positions 28 to 507 of the family's 1533-position model. The record is from RNAcentral.
GACGAACGCUGGCGGCGUGCUUAACACAUGCAAGUCGAACGGAAAGGCCCUGCUUUUGUGGGGUGCUUGAGUGGCGAACGGGUGAGUAACACGUGAGUAACCUGCCCUUGACUGUGGGAUAACUUCAGGAAACUGGGGCUAAUACCGGAUAGGAUCUCUUGCUGCAUGGGGGGGGUUGGAAAGUUUCGGCGGUUGGGGCUGGACUCGCUGCUUAUGCGUUGGUUGGUGGGGUAGUUGCUGACCAAGGCUUCGACGGGUAGCCGGCCUGAGAGCGUAACCGGCGACAUUGGGCCUGAGAUACGGACCAGACUGCUACGGGAGGCAGCAGUGGGGAAUAUUGCACAAUGAGCGGACGCCUGAUGCAGAAACGCCGCGUGCGGGAUGCUGGGCUACGGGUUAUGAACAACUUUCGCAGGUACCGAGGACGGAGUGACGGUAAUGGGUAAAGAAGCACCGGCUAACUACGUG